This 253-nucleotide ribosomal RNA is filed under the name uncultured bacterium. RNAcentral's name for it is "partial 16S ribosomal RNA". It matches the Rfam family "Bacterial small subunit ribosomal RNA", at positions 524 to 776 of the family's 1533-position model. The record is from RNAcentral.
UACGUAGGGCGCAAGCGUUGUCCGGAAUUAUUGGGCGUAAAGAGCUCGUAGGCGGUCUGUUACGUCCGCUGUGAAAACCCAGGGCUUAACCCUGGGCUUGCAGUGGAUACGGGUAGACUAGAGGCAGGUAGGGGAGAAUUGAAUUCCCGGUGUAGCGGUGAAAUGCGCAGAUAUCGGGAGGAACACCGGUGGCGAAGGCGGUUCUCUGGGCCUGACCUGACGCUGAGGAGCGAAAGCGUGGGGAGCGAACAGG